AAUGAAGACACCAGUAAAAAUGACACCACAGAAGAUACCAGCGAAGACAAAAGCCAUGACAAUGACAGCAAUGAGGGAAAAGAGGACGAAGACACAGACAAUCAGACAAGCCAGUCUGAAGAGACUGACAAGAAAUCUCAGGAAGACUCUGAAAGCUCCUUAAGUAAGGAAGACAGCCAGGACACAGAUGAGAGCAAGACUGAGUCCUCUGAUGGAGACAGCUCAAACACCACCGAUCUCACUGACAAAGACAGUGCAGAGAACGAUGGAGAAGUUGCAGAUAAUGAUGAAGAGGAUAGUUUGGAAAAGGUGCUUUCUGAUGAAGAUGAUGAGAAAGAUGUGGAUGAAGAUGUGGUUGAGACUCUCACCACUGAGGUGCCUGACCAGCCAGAUCAUCUAGAUGACACUCCAGAAGAAAAUGUUACUGGUAGCAGCAACGCUCCCCCAAGCUCUUAGCAUCCAGAUUUGUACCAGAUUACACAGUUUAACAGGGUCAUCUUGUUAACACCACAAAAACAGAGGCAACUGAAGUGAUCAUCAUGCUAACCAGUCAUUUUGAUGCACAUAAACACAUUAUUUGACCAGUAACUACCAAGAAAAAAAUUGGAAAAACACAUAAAAAUCAUUUUAACAGUUUAUUUCUUGGUCUCCCUAAUUUGAUUGUGGGCCCUACUGAUGGGGAUUUUUGAGGUAAAUGACUCAACUAAAUGAUUCAGUUGUUUGUUGCAUAAUCUACUCUUCAUAACUUGCCAUAAUCCUGCCUUAAUUCUACGAAUGAACAAAGCAAUAUUUCUUCCAGAGGUUGUUUUUAUGUCUUUUAUUAAAACCUUUUACUUUUGAAAACUAGA
This is a long non-coding RNA of Trichomycterus rosablanca, 848 nucleotides long. RefSeq lists it as uncharacterized. NCBI's taxonomy places the organism in Eukaryota, Metazoa, Chordata, Actinopteri, Siluriformes, Trichomycteridae. The record is from RefSeq and is a predicted model, not a curated record. The transcript has 6 exons.